RNAcentral lists this ribosomal RNA (254 nucleotides) under uncultured Lactobacillus sp. RNAcentral's name for it is "partial 16S ribosomal RNA". It matches the Rfam family "Bacterial small subunit ribosomal RNA", at positions 109 to 356 of the family's 1533-position model. The record is from RNAcentral. Lineage: Bacteria; Bacillati; Bacillota; Bacilli; Lactobacillales; Lactobacillaceae.
AGUAACGCGUGGGUAACCUGCCCUUAAGUCUGGGAUACCAUUUGGAAACAGAUGCUAAUACCGGAUAAAAGCUACUUUCGCAUGAAAGAAGUUUAAAAGGCGGCGUAAGCUGUCGCUAAAGGAUGGACCUGCGAUGCAUUAGCUAGUUGGUAAGGUAACGGCUUACCAAGGCGAUGAUGCAUAGCCGAGUUGAGAGACUGAUCGGCCACAUUGGGACUGAGACACGGCCCAAACUCCUACGGGAGGCAGCAGUG